Molecule: long non-coding RNA, 459 nt
Organism: Balaenoptera ricei (Rice's whale)
Lineage: Eukaryota; Metazoa; Chordata; Mammalia; Artiodactyla; Balaenopteridae
Exons: 3
Source: RefSeq, a predicted model, not a curated record
CACCGACGUGAUGUCACAAAAUGGAGAGCUGGGAAGAGAAGUGUGCAGCAGCACAUUAUUAGACAAUAUUUCCACCAUGCAGCUUGCCGAAUUCCUGAAAGUUUACCAAUCAGCACUGGCUCCUGCACACAGCUGUCUCUAAGUCUCGUCUUUCUUACCUGGGAAAUGGGAGAUGUAAUAGCAAUAACGCUUAGAGGGGACACAGGUUCGAUCCCUGGUCUGGGAAGAUCCCAUAUGCUGUGGAGCAACUAAGCCCGUGCGCCCCAACUAUUGAGCCUGCGCUCCAGAACCCACGAGCCACAACUACUGAAGCCCGCAAGCCACAACUACUGAAGCCCAUGCACCUAGAGCCCGUGCUCCGCAACAAGAGAAGCCACUGCAAUGAGAAGCCCGCGCACUGCAACGAAGAGUAGCCCCCGCUCGCUGCAACUAGAGAAAAAGCCCGCGUGCAGCAACGAA